RNAcentral lists this ribosomal RNA (802 nucleotides) under uncultured bacterium. RNAcentral's name for it is "bacterial SSU rRNA". It matches the Rfam family "Bacterial small subunit ribosomal RNA", at positions 8 to 810 of the family's 1533-position model. The record is from RNAcentral.
AGAGUUUGAUUCUGGCUCAGGAUGAACGCUGGCGGCGUGCUUAACACAUGCAAGUCGAGCGAAGCGCUCACGCGGAAUUUUUCGGAAGGAAGCGGGAGUGACUUAGCGGCGGACGGGUGAGUAACGCGUGGGUAACCUGCCCCAUACCGGGGGAUAACGGUUAGAAAUGACCGCUAAUACCGCUUAAGCGCGCGAGGCCGCAUGGCCACGCGCGAAAAACUCCGGUGGUAUGAGAUGGGCCCGCGUCUGAUUAGCUAGUUGGCGGGGUAACGGCCCACCAAGGCGACGAUCAGUAGCCGACCUGAGAGGGCGACCGGCCACAUUGGGACUGAGACACGGCCCAAACUCCUACGGGAGGCAGCAGUGGGGAAUAUUGCACAAUGGGGGAAACCCUGAUGCAGCGACGCCGCGUGAGCGAUGAAGUAUUUCGGUAUGUAAAGCUCUAUCAGCAGGGAAGAAGAUGACGGUACCUGACUAAGAAGCCCCGGCUAACUACGUGCCAGCAGCCGCGGUAAUACGUAGGGGGCAAGCGUUAUCCGGAUUUACUGGGUGUAAAGGGAGCGUAGACGGCGAUGCAAGCCAGAUGUGAAAGCCCGGGGCUCAACCCCGGGACUGCAUUUGGAACUGUGUGGCUGGAGUGUCGGAGAGGCAGGCGGAAUUCCUAGUGUAGCGGUGAAAUGCGUAGAUAUUAGGAGGAACACCAGUGGCGAAGGCGGCCUGCUGGACGAUGACUGACGUUGAGGCUCGAAAGCGUGGGGAGCAAACAGGAUUAGAUACCCUGGUAGUCCACGCCGUAAACGAU